RNAcentral lists this ribosomal RNA (471 nucleotides) under uncultured bacterium. Its description in RNAcentral is "bacterial SSU rRNA". It matches the Rfam family "Bacterial small subunit ribosomal RNA", at positions 328 to 795 of the family's 1533-position model. The record is from RNAcentral.
UGCCCAGACUCCUACGGGAGGCAGCAGUGAGGAAUAUUGGUCAAUGGGCUUACGCCUGAACCAGCCAAGUCGCGUGAGGGAAGACUGCCCUAUGGGUUGUAAACCUCUUUUGUCAGGGAGCAACGCCGGCUACGUGUAGCCGGACUGAGAAUACCUGAAGAAAAAGCAUCGGCUAACUACGUGCCAGCAGCCGCGGUAAUACGUAGGGGGCAAGCGUUAUCCGGAUUUACUGGGUGUAAAGGGAGCGUAGACGGAAUUGCAAGUCUGAUGUGAAAAUCCGGGGCCCAACCCCGGAACUGCAUUGGAAACUGUAUUUCUAGAGUGUCGGAGAGGCAAGUGGAAUUCCUGGUGUAGCGGUGAAAUGCGUAGAUAUCAGGAGGAACACCAGUGGCGAAGGCGGCUUGCUGGACGAUGACUGACGUUGAGGCUCGAAAGCGUGGGGAGCAAACAGGAUUAGAUACCCUGGUAGGG